RNAcentral lists this long non-coding RNA (1865 nucleotides) under Danio rerio (zebrafish). RNAcentral describes it as "lncRNA si:ch211-76l23.6 (ENSDARG00000096287.2)". Lineage: Eukaryota; Metazoa; Chordata; Actinopteri; Cypriniformes; Danionidae. The record is from RNAcentral.
UUUUUUUAAAAUGCUGCAGUAAAAAGCUUUUAUGUGAAGUACACACAUAGAUUAGCAUGUCCUGUAUAAGAUCUGACCAUUGUUUUUUUCUACUUAUUUGAAAGGGGGUAUUUAUAGUACUUUUUCUAUGUAAUACCCUGUUUCUUCAAAAUGCUGCAGUAAAAAGGUUUCAUGUGAAGUACACAUAUAGUCUGGGAUGUCCUGUGUAAGAACUGACCAUUGUUUUUUUCUACUUAUUUAAAAUGCGGUCUUUAUAGUAUUUUAUAUUAUGUUAAUACCCCGUCUCUUUAAAAUGCUGCAGUAAAAAGGUUUCAUGUGAAGUACAUAUAUAGUAUGGGAUGUCCUGUAUAAGAACUGACCAUUGUUUUUUUUUACUUAUUUAAAAUGGGGUCUUUAUAGCACUUUAUUUUAUGUUAAUACCCCAUUUCUCUAAAAUGCUGCAGUAAAUAGGUUUCAUGUGAAGUGGAGAUAUAGUAUGGGAUGUCGUGUAUAAUAACUGACCAUUGUUUUUUUUCUACUUAUUUAAAUAGGGGUCUUUAUAACACUUUGAAAUAUAAUAUUAUACAAUUUCUCCAAAACACUGCAGUAAUAAGGUGAAGUGUGAAGUACUUAUAUAGUAUGGGAUGUCCUGUGUAAGAACUGACCAUUGUUUUUUUCCUACUUAUUUGAAAUGUAGUCUUUAUAGCACUUUUUAUAAGGUUAUUACCCCGUUUCUCCAAAACAGUGCAGUAAAAAGAUUUCAUAUGAAGUACACAUAUAGCAUGGGAUGUUCUGUACAGGAACUGAUCAUUGUUUUUGUCUACUUAUUGGAAAUUGGGUCUUUAUAACACUGAGUAAUGUUAAUACCCAAUUUCUCCAAAACACUGCAGUAACAAGUCUUUAUUUGAAGUUUAGAAUGUGAUGUCCUGUAUCAGACCUGACUAUUGUUUUUUUUCUACAUAUUUUAAAUGAGCAUUUUUUGUCCAAAUUGCUGAAGUAAAAAGUAUUCAGAUGUAGUAUAUAUGCAUAUAGCAUGGGACAUCCAGUAUCAAACCAGAUCAGUCUUUUAUUUAACUUAUGUCAAACAAUGUAUUUAUGCACUUUAAAGACUUUAUAGCUCAAUAAUAGCACAUUUCUCCAAAAUGCUGCAGUAAGUUAUUAUGAGGUAUGCAUAUAAUAUUGGAUGUCCUGUCCAUUGUUUUCUUCUGCUCACCUGAAUGAGGUCUUUUACAUGAGGUAUGCAUGUACAUCCUGUAUCAGAACCAAACUUUGUAGUUUUUCUACUUAUUUCUUUAUAGCACUUUAAAGUGUGUUAAUGGUACAUUUCUCCAAAAUGCUGCAGUAAAACAGGCUUCAUAUGAUGUAUGCUUAGUAUUUGACUGCCUGCAUCUGAUCUUAUUGUUGUUCUAUUCUACUUAUAACAAAUAAUAAGGUCUUUACAGUCAUCUAAAGUGUAAUAAUGCCCCAUAUCCCAUAUACUGAAAGAAGCAUAACCUUUUAAAUCCCCUUUAAAUGAAAUAAACAUAUAUUUGUAAUUCAAACAAUGUUUUGUUGGACUACUUUAUGAUUGUUUUCACUUUCUGAGGUUAGCCACGUUGUAAAAAAUUGCAUUUAACCUUAUUUGCAAUGUACUGUAGUUGGCUAGGAGAAGUAGAAACGCAUUCUGUGUAUUUAGAAAUCAUGUAAUUUGCUAUCUGGGUUUGAUCUGCUAUAAAAUCAUUUGAAGCAAAAAGAUAAACUUGAGGAAAUUAAAGGUAAGCCCAGAAACCAAUUUCUUAAAAUAACAACAGUCAAACAAAGCUAAUAAAUUGUUUAAUAAAGCAUACGUGGGAGGAAAGGGGGAUAAACUUAUAUUUCGUUGUUAUCUCUCUUUUCUGGGCGAAAUG